Molecule: ribosomal RNA, 492 nt
Filed under: uncultured bacterium
Lineage: Bacteria
Description: partial 16S ribosomal RNA
Rfam family: Bacterial small subunit ribosomal RNA
Source: RNAcentral
AGUGAACGCUGGCGGCAGGCCUAACACAUGCAAGUCGAGCGGCAGCACAGUGCUUGCUCGUGCUUUCGGGUGCCGAGUGGCGGACGGGUCCUAGGAACCUCCCUGUCAGUUUGUUCUAAGGUCAGAACACGGGCACUCUUACGCUAUUCGCGCUUACGGCGUACGGGGGGGAGCAUCGGACCUUCCGCCCUCACGUGAGUCUAUGACCCUAUGUCGGAUUAGCUAGUUGGCGGGGUAAAGGCCCACCAAGGCGACGAUCCGUAGCUGGUCUGAGAGGAUGAUCAGUCACACUGGAACUGAGACACGGUCCAGACUCCUACGGGAGGCAGCAGUGGGGAAUAUUGGACAAUGGGCGAAAGCCUGAUCCAGCCAUGCCGCGUGUGUGAAGAAGGUCUUCGGAUUGUAAAGCCCUUUUAGUUGGGAGGAAGGGCAGUAAGUUAAUACCUUGCUGUUUUGACGGUACCAACAGAAUAAGCACCGGCUAACUUCGUG